GAUGAACGCUGGCGGCGUGCCUAAUACAUGCAAGUCGAGCGAACGGACGAGAAGCUUGCUUCUCUGAUGUUAGCGGCGGACGGGUGAGUAACACGUGGAUAACCUACCUAUAAGACUGGGAUAACUUCGGGAAACCGGAGCUAAUACCGGAUAAUAUUUUGAACCGCAUGGUUCAAAAGUGAAAGACGGUCUUUCUGUCACUUAUAGAUGGAUCCGCGCUGCAUUAGCUAGUUGGUAAGGUAACGGCUUACCAAGGCAACGAUGCAUAGCCGCCCUGAGAGGGUGAUCGGCCACCCUGGAACUGAGACACGGUCCAGACUCCUACGGGAGGCAGCAGUAGGGAAUCUUACGCAAUGGGCGAAAGCCUGACGGAGCAACGCCGCGUGAGUGAUGAAGGUCUUCGGAUCGUAAAACUCUGUUAUUAGGGAAGAACAUAUGUGUAAGUAACUGUGCACAUAUUGACGGUACCUAAUCAGAAAGCCACGGCUAACUACGUG
This 497-nucleotide ribosomal RNA is filed under the name uncultured bacterium. RNAcentral's name for it is "partial 16S ribosomal RNA". It matches the Rfam family "Bacterial small subunit ribosomal RNA", at positions 28 to 507 of the family's 1533-position model. The record is from RNAcentral.